RNAcentral lists this ribosomal RNA (247 nucleotides) under uncultured bacterium. Its description in RNAcentral is "partial 16S ribosomal RNA". It matches the Rfam family "Bacterial small subunit ribosomal RNA", at positions 523 to 769 of the family's 1533-position model. The record is from RNAcentral.
AUACGGAGGAUCCGAGCGUUAUCCGGAUUUAUUGGGUUUAAAGGGUGCGCAGGCGGAAUAUUAAGUCGGCGGUGAAAGUUUGCAGCUUAACUGUAAAAUUGCCGUUGAAACUGUUAGUCUUGAGUGCAAGUGAGGUAAGCGGAAUGUGUAAUGUAGCGGUGAAAUGCUUAGAUAUUACACAGAACACCAAUUGCGAAGGCAGCUUACUGGUAUGUAACUGACGCUGAGGCACGAAAGCGUGGGGAUC